GAUGAACGCUGACAGAAUGCUUAACACAUGCAAGUCUUUGGCGAAGCUGUGCUUGCACAGCCUAGCCAAGGCGGACGGGUGAGUAACGCGUAAGGAACUUGCCCUGCAGUCAGGGAUAACAGACGGAAACGACUGAUAAGACCUGGUAAAGUCAGGCGGACUCAUGUCCAGCCUGAUGAAAAGUGAUGCUGCAGGAGAGCCUUGCGUCCUAUUAGCUUGUUGGUGGGGUAACGGCCCACCAAGGCGAUGAUAGGUAGCCGGCCUGAGAGGGUGGACGGCCACAAGGGGACUGAGAUACGGCCCUUACUCCUACGGGAGGCGGCAGGGGGGAAUAUUGGACAAUGGGGGCAACCCUGAUCCAGCAAUUCUGUGUGCACGAUGAAGGUUUUCGGAUUGUAAAGUGCUUUCAGCAGGGAAGAAAAAAAUGACGGUACCUGCAGAAGAAGCGACGGCUAAAUACGUG
RNAcentral lists this ribosomal RNA (463 nucleotides) under uncultured bacterium. Its description in RNAcentral is "partial 16S ribosomal RNA". It matches the Rfam family "Bacterial small subunit ribosomal RNA", at positions 28 to 507 of the family's 1533-position model. The record is from RNAcentral.